This is a long non-coding RNA of Cannabis sativa, 918 nucleotides long. RefSeq lists it as uncharacterized. Lineage: Eukaryota; Viridiplantae; Streptophyta; Magnoliopsida; Rosales; Cannabaceae. The record is from RefSeq and is a predicted model, not a curated record. The transcript has 3 exons.
GUGGGUCUUGUACGUGUGCGUGAAUACUUAUUGAAGCUAUUCAAAUUCCAAAUGAAAUAAAGCCUAAGCUAAAGCCUACACGUGGGAGUAAAAUUCUCUAAAUCAAACAACAUAUUGAGACUAAGUUUCAAUGUUCAUUCGACUUGGUAUUUGAGAGAUUCUUCCUUAAACUAUGUUGACCGAUUAUAAGGUGAGAGGUUAGAGCUUUAUGUGGGUUAUUUAAUUAUUUUCAAAUCAUUACUUGAGUUAGUAGAGGGCCACGACAUGGUUAGUGAGGUGUGGUAUAGUUAAGUUCUAGGCUUAUAAAUAGAUCCAUAUUUCUUUUUUUUUUCCUCACUCAAAGAAGCCAAACCUCUCAAACAUUCUCCCUCUCGUUCCUGUCAUUCCAAAAUCUUGUUCUUCCAUUUUCUUGUGCUCAUUUGUUUCAUCUAUAGCCAAAAUCUUACCCCACAAACAUCAUAUCAUCAUACACUACCUCAACCCAUAACUAUACACAACCAUAAUCAUCUCAUAUAUAUAUAUAUAUCUUUCAUCAUAUUGGCGUCACCAUCACUAUCAUUUUACAUUCAAGUUUUAGUGCUCAACUAGAUCUCAUAAGGUUUCAUAAGAAAAUUAUUGUUUCUCAAGGAUCACUCUUAUUGCAAUCAAGGCUAGGACUCCACAUUCGAGACCAAGGUAACUGAAAGUUUAGAAAGCCGGUGGCGAGUGGAACUUUGGAUGCUUGUGUGUGUGAACUCGCUGAGGGCCAUAUAACUGCGGGCGGUCUAGGGCGCUCUGUUUAUUUAUUUACGUUAUUAAACUUAUGUCGCAAUUAUUUUAGUUAUUAAUUAUUAUGUUUUAUUUUUACGAAAACUGGCCAGUUGUGAACAUUUUCAAGUAUUAAAUAAAAAUACGACAUUAUGAUUUUCCGCGUUUAAA